Molecule: ribosomal RNA, 253 nt
Filed under: uncultured bacterium
Lineage: Bacteria
Description: partial 16S ribosomal RNA
Rfam family: Bacterial small subunit ribosomal RNA
Source: RNAcentral
GACAGAGGGUGCAAACGUUGCUCGGAAUCACUGGGCGUAACGGGUGCGUAGGCGGUUGGGUAAGUCUGACGUGAAAUCUCCGAGCCUAACUCGGAAACUGCGUUGGAUACUAUCCGGCUAGAGGAAUGGAGGGGAGACUGGAAUACUUGGUGUAGCAGUGAAAUGCGUAGAUAUCAAGUGGAACACCAGUGGCGAAGGCGAGUCUCUGGACAUUUCCUGACGCUGAGGCACGAAAGCCAGGGGAGCAAACGGG